RNAcentral lists this long non-coding RNA (274 nucleotides) under Manihot esculenta (cassava). RNAcentral's name for it is "long non-coding RNA (MESC_LNC001679)". Lineage: Eukaryota; Viridiplantae; Streptophyta; Magnoliopsida; Malpighiales; Euphorbiaceae. The record is from RNAcentral.
UGAGCUACUAGAGCCCAGUGAGCAGAAUAAUAAAACAUCUAAAACACAUGAUAACAUGGAAUGCAUCACAUCACAGCUAAUCACAUCAAGGAUGAACUUGUCACCAAUAGCCCUCUACAUAGUCCAACUGUGCCAGAACGUAGAAUGAGUCCUGGUCUUUCUCUUACAUAGCAUAACAUAACAUAGUCCAACUGUGCCAGAACGUAGAAUGGGUCCUGGUCUUUCUCUUACAUAGUGCCAACGAACGUAGAAUGGGUCCCACUGGUCUUACAUU